This 302-nucleotide small nucleolar RNA is filed under the name Nakaseomyces glabratus CBS 138. RNAcentral's name for it is "Candida glabrata CBS 138 Small nucleolar RNA snR191". It matches the Rfam family "Small nucleolar RNA snR191". Lineage: Eukaryota; Fungi; Ascomycota; Saccharomycetes; Saccharomycetales; Saccharomycetaceae. The record is from Rfam by way of RNAcentral.
UUCCAAAACUCUUUGUCAGGGUGUCAUUGCUGAACUUCACUUUUAUCUUUUUUUGAUUUUGGUUUGUUUACUGAUUAUACAAUGAUGCCUGUUACAGUUUUGGGAAAUUAAUACUAUUCCUAUCUCUUGGCUUCGUUCUGAAGUCGUUCGGGGAUAAAACUAGAAGCAUGGCCAUCGUUCUGAUGGUGUACCUUCGCCUUUUUUGAAUAGCGAGGACUCUAUGAGUUGAAGAGAUGACUUUUUUCAACAACGUAGUUGUUGAAUAAAUCUACCAUCUUUUCGUAGUUGGAGAACUCACAUUU